CCCUUAGAUGUUCUGGGCCGCACGCGCGCUACACUGAUUCAUGCAACAAGUUUUGUCCUUGGCUGAUAGGCCUGGGUAAUCUUUGAACGUGAAUCGUGAUGGGGAUAGAUGAUUGCAAUUAUUCAUCUUCAACGAGGAAUUCCUAGUAAACGCAAGUCAUCAGCUUGCAUUGAUUACGCCCCUGCCCUUUGUACACACCGCCCGUCGCACCUACCGAUUGAAUGGUCCGGUGAAAUCUUCGGAUCUGAGAGAUGUCUGAUUAAUUUCGGACGCCUUUUGGAAAAGUUGUUUAAACCUUACCAUUUAGAGGAAGGUGAAGUCGUAACA
This 327-nucleotide ribosomal RNA is filed under the name uncultured eukaryote. Its description in RNAcentral is "partial 18S ribosomal RNA". It matches the Rfam family "Eukaryotic small subunit ribosomal RNA", at positions 1470 to 1796 of the family's 1831-position model. The record is from RNAcentral.